AAAAGUGAUAAAAUAUUCAGAAUUAUUGUGCUGGUUCACGGCACGGCUGGCACCUGACUGAUUUGUGUGGCCUGCGUGUAAUGCAUAUAUCUCUUGUGAAAUCAAAACCUUAUAGAUUUCAGUGCAUCAGGUGACUAAUAAUCCAUGAAAAUACAGGAAGGAUCAGAUAUUCAGUCAUCUUUUUUAUGAUGCACAUUCAGGCUAUAUAAUGACAAGGCUGGGAGGAGAUAUUUUAGGAACCUACUUGACAACAUGUGAUCAUCCUAGCGAUCUGCCACAUGUUGUUGUACACACUUCAAAGACAACAGACAACAGACUGAUACAAGAACAAACCAGGGAAAGAUACGGGCUUAAACAUAAACUUAAUCUUUAUGUUCCAACCAAAGCAUCCAAAGGUGAAGGGAGUUUUAAAAGAUCCCUCCAUCACCUGGAUUUCAAUUUAGUCAACAAUGGAAGUGGUUUAGUACAUUUCAGUUUGAUUUUUGACAAGUAUUGGGAAAGACUAACGACAUACCAGUAAAUGAAACCGAAACUUCAACGUUUUGAUAAACAGUCAUAACGGAGUUAUCCUCCUUGACUAGCCAGUUAGAGUAAUGAUUGAUACCAACUCAAACAGUACAACUGUAAAGGUAGAGGAGAAAAAUGCAACGAACCAGGCCUGGAUUGGACCCCAGGCCACCUGAAUCUCCAGUCAGGUGCUCUACCACGAUACUUGACAAACUGGUGAUGGAGCCCAUCUGACCACCACAUUUCUGUCUUCCACCAAUAAGACACCAAUUCUUCCUGAGCAGGUCUUUUACCUGACACAUACUGUCUGGUCACAUAACCAAAUGAAACAUGAGAGGUGUCACUAAAGGUAGAACCCAAUUGACUGCCACACUACUAAUAUGAAAGCAUGUGUACAACAAACCAAAUUUAUGUCUAUAAGACUAUAAUGAGCCUGAACUCAAACUGAUUAAUGAUCAGAAUUAAUCUGAGUAUUCUGGCACUUCCAUCUGAAGUAAUAUACUGUUUAAAAUAUUGCUAUAUGUUCAUAUAAAAAGUGUAGAAAUACUUUUCUAAGAUAUAGAUUCUGUAUUAUAUGACAGGAAAGGGGCAGGCUAAUUCUAGGCCUGCCGACUUCCUCAAAUCCUGAUCAUCUUGGAUUGCAUUUUUAAGACAAUGAAUAAACAUUUAAUUGCUUCA
This is a long non-coding RNA of Saccostrea cuccullata (small rock oyster), 1185 nucleotides long. RefSeq lists it as uncharacterized. The transcript has 3 exons. Lineage: Eukaryota; Metazoa; Mollusca; Bivalvia; Ostreida; Ostreidae. The record is from RefSeq and is a predicted model, not a curated record.